GUAGGUGAACCUGCGGAAGGAUCAUUAAAGAGUUAGGGUCUUCUAGGCCCGAUCUCCCAACCCUUUGUUUAUUGAACCUCUGUUGCUUCGGCGGACCCGUCUCACGGCCGCCGGAGGACCGCUGAAAGGCGUCCUCUGGCCAGCGUCCGCCGAUAGCCAACCACUUAAACUCUGAAUAAAUCGUGUCAUAUGUCUAAGUCUAUGAUUAAAUUAAAGCAAAACUUUCAACAACGGAUCUCUUGGUUCUGGCAUCGAUGAAGAACGCAGCGAAAUGCGGUAAGUAAUGCGAAUUGCAGAAUUCCAGUGAGUCAUCGAAUCUUUGAACGCACAUUGCGCCCUUUGGUAUUCCGAAGGGCAUGCCUGUUCGAGCGUCAUUAUCACCCCUCAAGCCCCGUGCUUGGUGUUGGACGGCUUGGUCGCGUCACCGCGACUCCUCCUAAAGACAAUGACGGCGGCCUGUGGUUCCCCCGGUACACUGAGCUUUUAAUUGAGCACGUAUUGGAUAAGGGCACCCGGGACCCGGUCUUCUCCCUUUACCGGGAAGUUAUUCAAUGGUUGACCUCGGAUCAGGUAGGAAUACGCGCUGAACUUAA
RNAcentral lists this ribosomal RNA (593 nucleotides) under uncultured Herpotrichiellaceae. Its description in RNAcentral is "eukaryotic LSU rRNA". The stretch from base 220 to 374 matches the Rfam family "5.8S ribosomal RNA". The record is from RNAcentral. Lineage: Eukaryota; Fungi; Ascomycota; Eurotiomycetes; Chaetothyriales; Herpotrichiellaceae.